RNAcentral lists this ribosomal RNA (200 nucleotides) under uncultured bacterium. RNAcentral's name for it is "partial 16S ribosomal RNA". It matches the Rfam family "Bacterial small subunit ribosomal RNA", at positions 328 to 539 of the family's 1533-position model. The record is from RNAcentral.
AUGCUCGACACCUACGGGGGCGAGCAGUGGGGAAGUAUUGCACAAUGGGGGAAACCCGUGAUGCAGCGACGCCGCGUGAGCGAAGAAGUAUUUCGGUAUGUAAAGCUCUAUCAGCAGGGAAGAAACUGACGGUACCUGACUAAGAAGCACCGGCUAAAUACGUGCCGGCAGCCGCGGUAAUCUGAGCGGGCUGGCAAGGC